RNAcentral lists this unclassified non-coding RNA (329 nucleotides) under Hevea brasiliensis (rubber tree). The record is from RNAcentral. Lineage: Eukaryota; Viridiplantae; Streptophyta; Magnoliopsida; Malpighiales; Euphorbiaceae.
GGUUCCUUUUUUUUUUUUGGUUAACAUUGCAGGUACACGAGGGCAAAGGAAUUGCCGACAAUGAGUAUCUCUUUUACAAUUGUGUUGCAAUGUUUUGAUGAAGCGAGGGUGAGCAAUGUUACUAAACCUGACCCAAACAUUGAUCUAGCAAAGACAUCGAAUAGAUGGAUCACCAGUUUAACCGGUGAAUCAAUGGUUCAACCAAUGAGUCAUAAAAUUAUUAGUUAUAUAUAUUUCUCUUUGUAUAACCUAUUUUAUUCGUCAAAAAAAAAUUAAAUGAAACCCUCAAGCUGUACAAACGCUUCUUUUUUAAUACAUUUCAACAUAUA